Coturnix japonica (Japanese quail) is the source of this 3893-nucleotide non-coding RNA. NCBI's taxonomy places the organism in Eukaryota, Metazoa, Chordata, Aves, Galliformes, Phasianidae. The record is from RefSeq and is a predicted model, not a curated record.
UCCAGCUUCCCAUCCACCAGGACCCUCAAGUCUUUUCCAGCAGGGCUGUGCUUAGUCCUUUCAUCCCCCAUCUUGUAUUGGUAGUGAGAGUUGCUGCAGCCCAGGCACAAGAUAUUGCAUUUGAAUUUGUUGAGCCUCAUGAUGUUCACCUGGGUCCACUGCUCAAGCCUGUCUAGGUCCCUCUGGAUGGCAUCCUGUCUCUCAGAUGUGUUGACUGCACCCCACAGCUUGGUGUCAUCAGCAAACUUGCUGAGGGUGCCCUCAGCCUACUGUCAGUGUUACUGAUGAAGAUACUGACAGAGUAUCACUCCCAGCACCGAUCCCUGUGGGACUCCUCAUCACUGAUCCCCAUCCAGACACUGAGCCAUUGACCUGUCCCACUCUCUGGACUCAAUCCUGCACCCACUCUUUGUUCACUGAUCAGACUGCUCAUCAAAUCCAUACCUUUCCAAUUUAGAGAGAAGGAUGUUGUGGGGUCCAUGUUAGGCCUUACUGAAGUUGAGGCGGAUGACAUCAUUGGCUCUCCCCCUUAUGUGUUGUCACAAUGACACCAUCAUAGAAGGCCACUGGGCUGGUCAAGCAGGAUUUGCCCUUGGUGAAGCCAUACUGCUUCUUCCACAUCACCUCCCUGCCUUCCAUGUACCUGAGCACAGCUUUCAGGAGGAUUUGUUCCAUUAAAAAAUACCAAACCCAGCCUGCAGCUCAGCACAGCUGCACACUGAGGUGCCAGCAGUCUGCCUUUACCAUCCCAUAGGUGGAAAGGGCAAGGCUCCAGUCCCACCCCUGGGAAGAGCAGGAGAAAAGUGCUUCUGGUUCUGGAGUUGCACGGCCACGCACUGCAGACAGUCAGGCUGUGAGACUUCAAGGGCUGCAAAGUGUUAGGUCUCACCCUGCCCCGCAGCUGCGGGCUGUCCAAUGCAUCCACUGUUUGCAGAGCCCCGGCUCCGCUGUCAGGCACUGUGUCUCUCUUUGGCUUCCACUUUAUUUAUGAGAACUAGCCGGGAGGUUGAGAAAUCACAGGCCAAUGUUUGCCAGUUGAGUUCGCUGGAGAGGGGGGUUACGAAAAGCUGGAGACACUGGAAAAUCCAAUUAAAAAUCAAAAUCAAAAUGUGUCCUGGAAAGCAAGUUGCGUAAUGGGAAUUAACAAAGCAACCCGGCCGCUGGAUGGGAGCCUUCAAGGAGAACCUCACUGCUGGGAGCGCUGCCUCGCUGCUGGGCUGCGCGUCCCGGAGCCGCUGACUUUUUGCCCUUUGUAAAGGGGUUGACAGUGGGUCUGUUCUGCAGGCGGCCCACCCCGGCCCUGAGCUCGGGUCUGUGACGUGCCAUCAGAGCAUACGGCAAAUCAAAAGGAUUAGGAGGGCGAUCGGUAUCUGAGGGGGCCGUUGGGGUAUUAAGAUUCUUCCCCACAGCGUUCGCGAAACGCCGUAAAACCGCAGAUCUUAAAAGGCAUCGGGUAAAGCCAACAAAAUCCCUUUUGGAGUCCAACUCCUGCAGCUGCGGGGUGAAAAUCCCGCCGUGCCGGCCUUUCCCAUCCCAGCAUUUUAUUUUUUUUUUUUUCCUUUUCUUUUUUCCCCUUUGUUUUUUGCCCUCCUUUCCAGCCUCUGGCCGCAGCCACCGCUCGGGGCCGCGGUUGUGAUGCUGCGGGCACGGCGCUGCCUCCCGGCCCCCGGGGAGGCUGCGUGUGUGUUUAGGAGGUGCCGUUUCCCACAGCUCUGAUCUAAUUCAGCUGUAAUUCAAUCUCCGUGUGACCAACGCUCCGCCAGCGCUCUCCCACCCGCCGGCAGGCUCCUCUCUCACAGGCUGUGUGUGUGUUACACAUUUACACUGUCAAUCUGGCGGGCUCCCCUCAAACAACCCCUCUGUGCCGCUUUGCCGUGUCAAUCAGUCCGUGCCGCGGGGGCCGGCGCCCGCCGCCCCUCCCUUGAGCAGCGCGGUUACCCUAUACCUGCCACUCAGGGCUGCCAAAGGGCUGCUGCUGAAUGGCGUUUGUGUGCGGCCACAAAGGGCCAAGGCAGCUGAGGCAGAUAAGGCUGAGAACCUGGAGCAGAUGUAAAAGCGAUCAGACCUGGCUUUCCGCGGACGCUGGGCUCCCGCAAAGAUUUAUGACCCCUUUUAACCCCGUUUUAAAUACGGUAAACUAAAAAUAGGAUGGAACGAGACUGCCCGGCUCUCGGGUAGAAAUUCAGCCGGAGGGAUGGAUGGGCAGACCCCCCGGCUGCGCUCCGUUCCCCAUCGCCACACCGCGCCGUGCUGCCCGUCAUCGGGGCGCUCCUCUGUGAUCUCAUUAUAACCCACAUCCUCCAACCCUCGCCGGAUGCCAGCUGACCCCUCGCCCUGCAGCUCCCGAUGCGGGGCCGGCAGCUCGUAGGGCGAGCGGUGCUGGGGACGGGAGCUCAACACAACAAUGCGCCGGCCUUGGAAGUGCCGGGCUGUCAUUGUCAUCCCAGACACAAUGAUGGGAGCCUCGCUCGGGAUCGGUUUCUUUUGGCAGACAGCUUUGAACUCUGCUUUUUGCUUCCUGCUUCUCCGUUAAUUAUAAGUUUCUUCUCCUUCCCACUGACAGACGAAUCCUCCGGGGGCGAGAGAAACCGAGGAGAUCGAGGCUGGAGGUAAAAGAGGAAAGUCUUCCAAACAGUGGAACAAAGAGUGGUCAGCUUGUGGCUGUGCCUCCACACUCCCACACAGGCACCUGUGUCCCAAAGCCUCCAACAGCUCAAAGGAGGAAAAGAAACAUGGCUUCCAGCCUGGGAUGGAGAGAGAAACAUUAGAAUGAGACACCACGGACUCCACAGUUGUGGGAUUUAGAUGACCCGUGUUGUCCAGACAGGCAAAGAUGGUAUAAAGGUGCAGCCUUGAUAGUGAGAAGAGUGUGGGUCUCACAGUGCCCAGACCAGUGGAGAAGCCAAAGGGGAGCUGUAGACAAACAUGGCAUUACUGAGCUCAAGAAAUUAAAACUCACUGCUUUCUUAACUUGGAGGAAUAACAUAAAUUAUUUGGCAAAUCAGACAUCAAAACUUAUUGCAAUGUACUACACCUGCUUGGGAUCCCUUUGUUCAACACAAAUCCCCAGUUCUUCCAUAGCAGGUGAUCUCCUACUGCAGCCCAAGGUGAGAGUGCGUUCCUGUUAGCUUUAAGGAGAUGUAUCAGCCAUUCUGGUCAGUGCUGACUCUUCUUUAUAUAAAUAAAUGUGCUCACACAGAAAGAUACCCAUGACGGCAAUUCUGGAUCUCAGAAUCACAGAAUGACCCGGGUUGGAAGGGACCUCAAGGAUCAUGUAGUUCCAACCCCCCUGCCUGGCAGGGCCACCAAACAUACACAUUUACUAGAUCAGGUUGCCCAGGGCCCCGUCCAACCUGGUCUUGAACACCUCCAAGGACGGGGCGUCCACAACCUCCCUGGGCAGCCUGUUCCAGGACCUCACCACUCUAAGGUCCCCCCCUGAGAAAAACAGUGACUUCCAAAGGAACAACUGAAACCCAUCCAGAGUUGCCAGGAUUUGACUGUGUUUCUCUAUGUUCAGUGAAGAACGAAGCUUACAGCUACUUCAGCCUCAUUUCAAGAAGAACCGACCUAUUUGUGAAUCUGCCUAAAGUGAUGUGAGAACUGGAACAGCCUGGUCAGGUCCUGCAGCCACCUUUCCUGUGUUUAAAAGGUUUCAUAAGGAUCUUGGGCAAGACGAGGAGUCAGGCAAGAAUCUAAAGAUUUCUGAGAUAAUUGGUAUUUUUUAAUGAUAAAACAGCAUGAACAAAAGUUCCAACAGUUUAUCUCCAUGGAGACAAAUAAAUUACCUGCUGCUACAGAAAAUCAACCUGGUUUGCACCUUAGAUAUUUAUAAGGAAUGAAAAAAAUAACGAUAGGGCAAGGGCUCCCCAGUUAGCAGCUGGCAGACAAGA